AUGCACGCUGGCGGCGUGCCUAAUACCUGCAAGUCGAGCGCACAGACGAGGAGCUUGCUCCUCUGACGUUAGCGGCGGACGGGUGAGUAACACGUGGAUAACCUACCUAUAAGACUGGGAUAACUUCGGGAAACCGGAGCUAAUACCGGAUAAUAUAUUGAACCGCAUGGUUCAAUAGUGAAAGACGGUUUUGCUGUCACUUAUAGAUGGAUCCGCGCCGCAUUAGCUAGUUGGUAAGGUAACGGCUUACCAAGGCAACGAUGCGUAGCCGACCUGAGAGGGUGAUCGGCCACACUGGAACUGAGACACGGUCCAGACUCCUACGGGAGGCAGCAGUAGGGAAUCUUCCGCAAUGGGCGAAAGCCUGACGGAGCAACGCUGCGUGAGUGAUGAAGGUCUUCGGAUCGUAAAACUCUGUUAUUAGGGAAGAACAAAUGUGUAAGUAACUAUGCACGUCUUGACGGUACCUAAUCAGAAAGCCACGGCUAACUACGUG
Molecule: ribosomal RNA, 496 nt
Filed under: uncultured bacterium
Lineage: Bacteria
Description: partial 16S ribosomal RNA
Rfam family: Bacterial small subunit ribosomal RNA
Source: RNAcentral